AGGAAGGCUGGGUGGACGUGUAUCCCGCCAAUCCGGUCAGAUCCGAAAGGAAGCAGCCGCAGUGGGCUUUUCGCGGGUCAUCCAGUCUUCCGCUA
This 95-nucleotide signal recognition particle RNA is filed under the name Alphaproteobacteria bacterium. RNAcentral's name for it is "signal recognition particle sRNA small type". It matches the Rfam family "Bacterial small signal recognition particle RNA". Rfam says of the family: The signal recognition particle (SRP) is a universally conserved ribonucleoprotein involved in the co-translational targeting of proteins to membranes. Archaeal SRP consists of a 7S RNA and homologues of the eukaryotic SRP19 and SRP54 proteins. Lineage: Bacteria; Pseudomonadati; Pseudomonadota; Alphaproteobacteria. The record is from RNAcentral.